UUAAAACUAGACGACGUUGGUAGACUGUUGGCAAAUAGUUGACAUUGUUGGCAGAUUGUUGGCAAAUAGUUAACCUUGUUGGCAUACUGAUGUUGGGCCAACAAAGACCCAACAUGUUGGGCCAACUGAGGGCCGAUGAGCAAAAUGACGUUGGCCCAACAUAGUUUUCCAACAUUGGCCCAACAAUGUUGCCAACAGAAUGCCAAUAUUGGCCCAACACAUGUUUGCUAUCUGGGCAUAU
This 241-nucleotide long non-coding RNA is filed under the name Mytilus galloprovincialis (Mediterranean mussel). The record is from RNAcentral. Lineage: Eukaryota; Metazoa; Mollusca; Bivalvia; Mytilida; Mytilidae.